This 500-nucleotide ribosomal RNA is filed under the name uncultured bacterium. RNAcentral's name for it is "partial 16S ribosomal RNA". It matches the Rfam family "Bacterial small subunit ribosomal RNA", at positions 30 to 523 of the family's 1533-position model. The record is from RNAcentral.
AUUGAACGCUGGCGGAAUGCUUUACACAUGCAAGUCGAACGGCAGCACGGACUUCGGUCUGGUGGCGAGUGGCGAACGGGUGAGUAACAUAUCGGAACGUAUCCAAUAAUGGGGGAUAACGAGUCGAAAGAUUCGCUAAUACCGCAUACGCCCUACGGGGGAAAGCUAGGGACCUUCGGGCCUGGCGUUGAUGGAGCGGCCGAUAUCUGAUUAGCUAGUUGGUGAGGUAAAGGCUCACCAAGGCGACGAUCAGUAGCUGGUCUGAGAGGACGACCAGCCACACUGGAACUGAGACACGGUCCAGACUCCUACGGGAGGAAGCAGUGGGGAAUUUUGGACAAUGGGCGCAAGCCUGAUCCAGCCAUUCCGCGUGAGUGAAGAAGGCCUUCGGGUUGUAAAGCUCUUUCGCAAGGGAAGAAAACUUAUCCUCUAACAUAGGAUGAGGUUGACGGUACCUUGAUAAGAAGCACCGGCUAACCACGUGCCAGCAGCCGCAGUAA